RNAcentral lists this small RNA (2247 nucleotides) under Pongo abelii (Sumatran orangutan). Its description in RNAcentral is "processed transcript". Lineage: Eukaryota; Metazoa; Chordata; Mammalia; Primates; Hominidae. The record is from RNAcentral.
AUUUUCAAAGCAGAGAAAACCAGCCCAUUGAAAAUAUCCUGCCAAGUCAUUCGGGGAUUUGUGGCAGAAACUCCAGUCUUGUGUCUGGACAUGGACCAUUUCUGGGGAAAACUGAGACCUUUGCUAAAAGGAAGAGGGGAAAGCGGGGGCGCACAUAUCCAGUGAUAUUUUCUCAUCUGGUACUUUGUAGAAACCUUGCUCCCAGUAUGUACCUAAUUAAGGCUCCACAGCCCUACGAGGCCCCAAGAGAGAGUGGUUACAUCAGUGCAGUCCUCAGCAGAACCGAGGAAAGAGCUUCAUCGUCCAAAACUGAGGAAAUGCCCAGAUUAACACAGAGGGUUUCUGUGUCUCCUGAAUACCUUCUUCUUCCCCCACGCCACGGUGGGUGUGACAAGAUCAGCUGGCUUCCAGAAGGCAAGGUGUUCAGUAAUGUUCAAAGAGAGAAGAUUAUCUCCAAGUUUCUAAAGAAAGUGUUCCGUUCACAACAAAUGAGGUGGUAGGGGUCUGACAACCAGAAAGGGACUUCAAGUUACACCUUUCCUGGCACCAGAAAAACUAUUUGGAAAUUCCAGUGGAGCAAAUGAUGCUAGAACCUAAUUUGCCGGUGCAUAGUCAAAAAAGUACAAAGAAUAGUAAACAAGGGAUCUUUCAAUUAUGGAAUUGUCCUCUUAAUGAAGGAAGUACCAUAGAGAAGAGGGAAUUCAAAAAAUCUUCAGUGGAAACUGGCUUUAAUGUAAUCAAUAAUCCUAUAAGAGCCUUCACCCUGAACCACCCAUUAACAAUUGCUUUAGUUGAUAAGCAAGCUGGUCCUUACCCUGGACUGCCAGUGCCAUUAGGUCUUUGCUGGCCCUAUGCUGAUGGAGACUUUUUUAAGAACAGAAAUGAGAUUCGUAUUAGUUCAUGUUCAACUAUAGAAAACAACGAUGGUGAAAUGUUACCUGCUCCAAACUGGAAUUUGAAACAUGGAAACAGCAGUGUGGAAGAAAAUGUAACAGAUGAAAGUGAUUUAUCAGAAAAUGAGAAGGCAAAUGAUACUUUACUCAGCUAUUUUAAAAAGGUGGACCUGAACUUGAAGCCAGAAACAAUAAAAAAUGUUGAGGAACCUUUCACCGAGGAGCCAAAUGAAGUAUUUCCAUAUCCUGAUUUUCUCCCUCCUCCUUUCAGUACUCUAGACUUGCACAAUUUAGCCCUCUCCAAAUCUGACAAUUGGAAAGCAACAGUGGAACCUGUAGAAACCUCUGUUGAACACUUGAUAACUCGUUUACUGGAACUAGAACGAUUACAACAUAUGACUAUUCAAAAAGAGAGGCCAAGACUACAAACGACUUUCUGUACUCCAGCAGGUUCUCAACGACCCUCUUCCUCCACAGCUACACCACACGUGAGACCAAAACUUUGUGACUCUUUGAGUCUUCAGAUACCUUGUGUAGAUGAAAGUCAAGAAAAAAGUAAAAACAACUCUGGUUCUUGUAAGCUUGAGCAAAAUGCUUUAAAACGGAAUUGGAGCAAUGCUGGCAAAUAUAAAUGGAAUUCUAGACCACCGUCUCUAAAAAGUUCUUCCACCACAAAACAAUUGAUUGAAACUUAUGAUAAGAAUCCCAAAAGUUCUAUUUUAAAUCCAUGCCAAGAACUCUCAUCCAAGCCUACUAUUGGCCAAACAAAUCAAUCACUGGUUAAAAUGGUCUCCACAAGAUGUCUGCCAUCGAGGUCUCCAAUGCCAGUUUCACCUAUACCUCUGUCUUUUCCCGAAAAUCAGAAGGAAGAAAUUAAGGCACCAAAGAGAAACUUUGGGACCAAAAAGAAACUUUACCGACAAAAUAUAGUGUUGAAUAGACCGUUCUCUAUUCAGAAGCUAAACUGUUUGUCGCCUUCCCUUAUUGCUAAGGAUAAGUGCUGCUCACCUACUGAACAAAAAUAACUCUUUUCUUUCAUACAUCUCAAUGUGAACAGAUCUAUUCUAAGAAGCCCAACUAAGAUAUGGUUAAUUAUUCCAAGACACAGGUACUAUUAACAGUCCCCCAAAAUCACCAAACAGUUGCUUGAUGUGAUAUGGAGUGGAACUUGUGAAAAGCACUGCUGAGAUGUCUAUAUAUAAACCCCCAGGCUUCUAUACUGACGUAUUUCACAAUCUUUUGCAUGUUGUGUUUCAAAUAAAUGGUUCACUUAGUAGACUAUUCUAUUCAAAAGGCUAUUCUUUUUUCAGUGAUUGUUUUCCAGUAUAAUUCCAUCAAUAAAUGCUAUAAUUGA